GUUGACAAAGUAACAGGAAG
This 20-nucleotide microRNA is filed under the name Chiloscyllium plagiosum (whitespotted bambooshark). Its description in RNAcentral is "microRNA PC-3p-552507_1". The record is from RNAcentral. Lineage: Eukaryota; Metazoa; Chordata; Chondrichthyes; Orectolobiformes; Hemiscylliidae.